GAUCAGGCUGUUGGUGAGGUAAUGGCCCACCAAACCUGUAACCGGUACGGGCUCUGAGAGGAGGAGCCCGGAGAUGGGCACUGAGACAAGGGCCCAGGCCCUAUGGGGCGCAGCAGGCGCGAAACCUCUGCAAUAGGCGAAAGCUUGACAGGGUUACUCUGAGUGAUUUCCGUUAAGGAGAUCUUUUGGCACCUCUAAAAAUGGUGCAGAAUAAGGGGUGGGCAAGUCUGGUGUCAGCCGCCGCGGUAAUACCAGCACCCCGAGUGGUCGGGACGUUUAUUGGGCCUAAAGCAUCCGUAGCCGGUUCUACAAGUCUUCCGUUAAAUCCACCUGCUUAACAGAUGGGCUGCGGAAGAUACUAUAGAGCUAGGAGGCGGGAGAGGCAAGCGGUACUCGAUGGGUAGGGGUAAAAUCCGUUGAUCCAUUGAAGACCACCAGUGGCGAAGGCGGCUUGCCAGAACGCGCUCGACGGUGAGGGAUGAAAGCUGGGGGAGCAAACCGGAUUAGAUACCCGGGUAGUCCCAGCUGUAAACGAUGCAGACUCGGUGAU
Molecule: ribosomal RNA, 550 nt
Filed under: uncultured archaeon
Lineage: Archaea
Description: bacterial SSU rRNA
Rfam family: Archaeal small subunit ribosomal RNA
Source: RNAcentral